GAUGAACGCUAGCGGCAGGCCUAACACAUGCAAGUCGAGGGGGAAGUUACUUUCGGGUAACUGAGACCGGCGUACGGGUGCGUAACGCGUAUACAAUCUGCCUUUCACUGGGGGAUAGCCCGAAGAAAUUUGGAUUAAUACCCCAUAGUAUAGUAAUACGGCAUCGUGAUACUAUUAAAGCUACGGUGGUGAAAGAUGAGUAUGCGUUCUAUUAGCUAGUUGGAGAGGUAACGGCUCCCCAAGGCGAUGAUAGAUAGGGGUUCUGAGAGGGAUGUCCCCCACACUGGUACUGAGAUACGGACCAGACUCCUACGGGAGGCAGCAGUGAGGAAUAUUGGACAAUGGUCGGAAGACUGAUCCAGCCAUGCCGCGUGCAGGAUGAAGGUCUUAUGGAUUGUAAACUGCUUUUGUAAGGGAAGAAUAAGGAGUACGAGU
RNAcentral lists this ribosomal RNA (435 nucleotides) under Capnocytophaga sp. oral taxon E54. RNAcentral's name for it is "bacterial SSU rRNA". It matches the Rfam family "Bacterial small subunit ribosomal RNA", at positions 28 to 463 of the family's 1533-position model. The record is from RNAcentral. Lineage: Bacteria; Pseudomonadati; Bacteroidota; Flavobacteriia; Flavobacteriales; Flavobacteriaceae.